AGAGAAUACAAGGCACUGCAGUCGAACAAAAGGCCUUUGAGAGUUUAUACCUGGGAGCUAUAUUUCCACCCCACCCCGUCUGCCUCCCUGAUUACAUUGCCUGCUGAGACUCUAUUGGCUGUCAAAGAGCAUCUGGGAAGGUAAUGAAGCAGUUAAUGUGGCUACAGAUACCUGCUCCCCUACUUAUUUCUGGACUCAUUCUGACAUUAAACUUCGCUCAACCCUUAUGUACUUUUGUGCCCCUCCCCCCAUAUAUUAAGACAUACCCUGUUUAAGGAGAGCUGCUGGAAGGCAGGUCAUCACAGGAAUAUCUUGUGAGUCACAGUGAAAGAAAAACAGGCACUCCUCCCCCAGAUUUGUGCUAAAGCGCAUCUAUCAUUAUCUAUUUAACUAGAGUAUUUCAUUAGGGAAUGAUACCUUUUUUUAUUGGACUAACAUAAUACUUAGAAGACAAGCUUACAAUAAUUUUCCUCUCUCCCUCAGGCCUAAAGGAAUACUGAUCAAUAUGGCAGAGUUUAACACUUAAAAUGACUGAUGUUAUUAGUAAACGGGGUGGAGGGGGUGGCAGGGGGAGGCUGUUGUAAAUAGCAGAAGAUAGGCUUCAAAGUGAAAAGUGCAGAGUGGUUGAAAACGGCAGAACAACAAAAUAAAACAGAGAAGAAAUGUUACACAACACAUUAAACAGCACAGAUUAGCUCUCUCACUCUCUAUCUAUACACACACACACACAUAUAUAUAUGUGUGUGUGUGUGUAUGUGUGUUUGUGUAUGUGUAUAUAACAUAAGUAGAGAUUGUAGCCGUAUUAGUCCAGUGAGUCUUUCUCAGAAAUGCUUUAAACUUGAGAAAGGGAGGUUCUCCCGAAAGCUUGUCAAUAAAAAAGGUAUUACAAGAUACAAAUUUUAUCUGUAUUUUACAUCUAUAUAAUGUAUUUAUAGAGAGAAAGAGAGAGAGUGUGAUUGAGUUGUGAGGACUUUUAUUUCUACAUUUGUUAAAGGAACACAGCAAAACUCCAAGCACCACAACCACUACAACACUCUGACUUCUUACAUGGGGUCCUCCCCCACUAUUUCGAGGACUUAGCUCAGGGCAGCUAAUGGUAGCUUAGGAGCGUCCAUCUAAAAGUAGUGGUGAUGGAGCUUGGAGUGUUUCUUUAACCCCUUAAGGACGGCAGAGGUGCUAUGCCAUCCUUGGGGACUCGGCUCAAAAACGCCGGCGGGCAGUAUAGCAUUUCCACGCCAUCCUAUGCACUUACCUGCUUGCCAGCGGUCCCAUAUAUAUAUUUUAAUUCUAUGUAUAUAUUUAUGUAAUAUUUUUACAUAAGUAAGUCAUUUUAUUAAUUACAAUUUGCGGGACCUGCCUGAUAACCCAGGCAGAAAGUCCAGAGAAUUUAAUUUGCUAGCACUAUAUUUAACCCUGUAACUUUCCAAGACACCAUAAAACGUUUACAUGGGGGGGUACAGUUUUACUCGGGAGACUUUGCUGAACACAAAUAUUAGUGUUUCAAAACAGUAAAAUGUAUUAGAACGAUGAUAUCAUCAGUGAAAGUGAAGUUUUUUUCAUUUUUCACAUACAAAUGGCACUUACACUGACAAUAUAAUUAUUGUUAUACCUUUUAUGGUUUGAAACACUAAUAUUUGUGUUCAGCGAAGGCUCCUGAGUAUAACAGUAUAACAGGCUCAUGUACAGGUUUUAUGGUAUUCGCCAGAUUGGAUAUGUUGCCUUUAUUGCCAAACACUGGCCAAAAUUGGCGUUCAAAUUAGUUUUUUGCAUUUUUCACACACAAAAAAAUAUUAACGCUAUCUUUGGCCAGUGUUUGUGACUAAGUGGCUACUAAAAAAGACUGGACAUAAUACCUUGGGUUGUCUACUAUUACAAAUGGUAUGCCAUCAUGGGGGUAAUUCUCAUUACUGGGCUACCAUGCGGUCUCAAAGGCAACGUAACCAAUCUGGCGAAUUUCAAUGUGAAAACACUGACAAAUUUAACAUGCUAUAUUUUGACCCUGUAACUUCCCAAAACAGCACAAAACCUGUACUUAGGGUGUACUGUUUUACACGUGAGACAUCGCUGAAUACAAAUGUUUAUUUAUUUAUAUUUUUAUAAUUCUUUAUUUUCAAUGACAGAGAUUUCAGGCAUGUGAACAGUAAUUGGGCUUAUGCAAAAGCCAAUAUUCGUGUUUUACAGCAGUUUCACAGUGAUACAGAAAAAAGAGAUUGAAUUGUUAGAUGAUAAUGCUACUGUUCAGAGUUCUUCCUUGCGGUCUUGUUCUGUCAGGGUUUUUACAUUUAUAUAUAAAACAAAACAGAUUUAAGUUUUAACCUUAACAUAAAAAUAGGAUGUGUUGCCAACACUUUUAUGUGUGGUGUAUUUUUUACUUAAGGCGGUGCACACAUGCGAUAAUAUCUGGGCUUACGCAGAAGCCACUGUGGUUCUUUUUUUUUCUUUUUUUUUUUUUCUUUGUUAUGCAAUUUACGUUUACAUAAAGAAAAAGUAGUGCUUUAGUACAGUUUACAUGUAUAGUGAAAUUUUUUGGUCAAUUCAGUGGUUUAUCUGUCAAAUUAAGGUUUGCCAUGGGUGUAUUUUGCAGUUUGGUUGUUGAAGCUUACUGUGAGGUCGUGUGCUGCCUCGUUUGGUGCAGUUAUAUAUAUGUAUUAGUGUAAAAACAUACAAACGGAUAGAUCUAUAAGCAGGAAAACGAAAAACAUUUUACUAUCGUGACUGUUACCUCUGCUCUGGGUAGCUUCAUUAUGUGCCCUUUUACUUUUUAAUUAUGAGUGUUCGUUCAGGUCCCCUGUCACCCCUCCGCAUUCUCUUGAUAUUGCUCCCACAGUUCCCAUACCUUCCUACAUUUUUGGUGGUGUGUCUGACUAGGUUAACCUGUCCAUGAGGUGGUUAUCGUUUAAUUUUUCUAAGACCAGUGUCAAGGGGGGUGUUUCCAGACAGAGCCAUUUUUGUGCUAGUGCCCUUCGGGCCACUAGAUAAACCAAGUUAAGUAGUUGUUGCUCUGGGCGUGUAAGGCCGUCUGUCGGCCUGGAGAGGAGGCAGGCCCACUGGUCCAUCUGUAGUGGUCUCUGCAUUAUGUUUGAGCUUAGAGUGAUGAUUUGAGACCAGUAGGCCUGUACUGUAGGGCAUGUCCACCACAUAUGCACGUAUGUGCCCUUUUCCCCGCAGCCUUGCCAGCAUAGGUCUGAAGAGGUGAUCUGUAUACGAAAUUGUUUUACUGGGAUGGUGUACCAUCUGAAAAGAUCUGUUAAAUGACUGCUCUUGGAGGGUGACACAAAUGGAUGAACGGCUUUCGCCUCCCAGAUGUUCCGCCAGUUGGAGCCCUCUAUUUUUUCCCCUAUACCACUGGUCCAUGUAGCGGAGUUCUUCCCACUCUUUGGCUUCCCUGGUAAGGUGGGAGUAUAACAGUGAGAUAAGGCCCCUAGGAUGUUUUUCCUGGUAGCAAAUAUUCUCAAACCAGGUGAGAGGGAGGGUUGCUGUCUCUUUUACUUCUUUAGAGCUGGCAAAGUCUCGUAACUGAAGGUAGCGGAAGAAGUCUUUGUUUGUUAGAGGGGAUUGUUCCCUGAGGUGGUCAUAUGUAACUAGUUGGUUAUUUUUGUAUAAGUGGCAAUAUCUCUGGAGACCCGCCCUCUCCAGGCUGCCAAAGUCGCCUGCUUUCAUACCUGGUGGGAAGGAUCUGUUUCUCAGUAUUAGGGACAUCGGGGAAGGGAACCUGCUUAAGGAGUAUUUGGUUGCUAUUUGAUCCCAGAUGUUUAAGGAGUUUGUUAUUGGUGGGAAGGCUAUUCUGGGAAGUGCUCUGUGUGUCUUAUGUAACCAGGGAUAAAACUGUGGUAGGUCUUGACCCUUUAGUGAGGAUUCCAGCUCCACCCAUCGUCGGGUGUCUGGUGUUGAGUGCCAGUAUGCUAUUUGGGCCGUUUGCGCGGCCAAGUAGUAUAUGUACAGGUUCAGUAGUCCUAGCCCCCCUUUAUCCUUGGUCGGUACAGCAGUUUUCUAGCUAUCCUGGGGCGUUUUUUGUGCCAAAUAAACAUAUCUAUAGCUCUCUGGAGUGAGGAUAAGUCGCUCCUCUUAAUUGAUGUGGGCAGGGCUUGAAACAUGAACAGCAGUCUAGGGAGAAUAUUAAUCUUUACUGAAUGGAGCCUCCCUAGCCAUGAGAUAGGCUUGUCUGUCCACUGCUCCAGGUCCCUCUGGAGUGCGCGCAUUAGCGGGGUGUAGUUAGUCUCGUGUAGUUGUUCGUGCUGUGCUGUGAGUUUAACCCCUAGAUACGGUAUGUUGUCUGUGUUGAUGGGUAGGAGAUGUCUGUCUUGUAUUGAUUCUCUUUCAUGGGUCGGGAUAUGAAACGGUAGGGCUGUGGAUUUAGUGAGGUUCACCUUGUAUCCUGAUAGGGCCCCAUAUGUGUCUAAGAGGCUCUUCAGUUGGUCUAUGGAGGUCUGGGGAUCUGUGAGAGUCAGCAGCACAUCGUCCGCGUACGCUGAUACUUUGAAAGUGUUUCUCGCUAUUUUAAUUCCCUGUAUGUGUGGGUGUUGGCGUAUGGCUUGUAGUAUCGGUUCAAGGGAGAUAGCGAACAGCAGUGGCGACAAUGGGCAGCCCUUGCGCGUUCCGUUGUGACGGGGGAAAGGAGUCCUGGGGGCUGCUGCAAUUAGGGUCUUGGCUCUCAGGUUGGUGUACAGGGCGCGUAUGGCUUGGAUGUAAGCUCCUGGGAAGCCCCACUCUUCAAGUAGACUGAACAGGUAUGGCCACUGCACCCUAUCAAAGGCAUUCUCCGCGUCCACUUUUGAUUUCUGCAUGUACCAUGCCAGGACUGCCCCCCUACGCGUGUUUUCAUUUAGUUGCGUUACCGGGGAUAAACCCCACCUGAUCUGGAUGGAUUAUGCGUGUGAGCAUAGGUGCCAGCCGGAUCGCCAGGAUCUUCGCGUAUACUUUGAGAUCCGAGUUUAUCAGGGAGAUGGGUCUAUAAUUCGCUGCGUGUUCAGCAUCUUCCCCCAGUUUUGGAAUGAGUGUGAUAUUUGCUAGUGCCAUGUCUGUGUCUGCCGCUAUGCCUGUCAUGAAGUGGUUGUACAAGGAGGUAAGAUGGGGGGCUAGGUCCUCUUUGAAUAUUUUGUAGUACCCUAUUUCAUAUCCAUCGGGACCUGGGGCCUUGUUUCCUUUCAGUACUGCUAUAGCUGUUUCUACCUCUAAUCGGGAGAUAGGUUCUUGUAAGAUCGUGAGGUCUUCGUCUGUGAUCGCAGGGAGUUUUAUGUUAGCGAGCAAGGCUCGUAGUGAAGUAUAUAUUUGCCCCGGUGUACUCUGUGGGUGUUGGGUCUGUCCAUAGAGCUUCGAGUAGAACUCUGUGAAAACCCAUUUUAUGUCUUGUGGGGUGGUUGUUGCCUGUUCCUGAGUGUGUGUACGUAUUUUUGUGAUGGGCUUGUGGUCCCUUCGGGGGUGCAGCGUUCUGGCUAGUAGAGAGUCCAUUUUAUUGGACUUUUCAUAGAAGAGUCGCUUAGACCUCUGAAUGGAGUGCGCUACCCCCUCGAGUAGGACCCCCCUGAUUGCAUGUCGUAGUGAUGUGAGUUCUGCGAAUUUCCAGCUGUGGGGUUUUGUUUAUGCUGUUGUUCUAAUCUUCUCAGUGUAUCCUGAUAGUCUAUAAGGGUGUUACAUUUCUUUUUGUGUGUUGCUACUUUUAUAAAGUGUCCCCUCAUGACCGCUUUGUGUGCUGCCCAGAUCGCCACGGGGCCCACCUGCGGUGUAGUGUUUUGUGUGAAAUAGUCUUUGAUUCGGGUGCGCGUAUCGUCACAUAUCGUUUCACUGUUUAGUAAGCUAGUGUUUAGGAGCCAGGUCCAAGUGGCGGAGUAUUUGAUUUGUCUAGUGUGAUAGAAAUAUCUGCAUGAUCCGACCAGGUGAUACUGCCUAUGUCAGUGUGCGUGAGCUUGGACAUCCCAACUCCGUUUAAGAAUAUGUGGUCGAUUCUAGAGUAUGUGCCGUGGGGCGCUGAAUAGAACGUGUAGUCACGAGUGUUUGGAUGCUGGAGCCUCCAGGCGUCCAGUAACUGAGUGUUAGUAAGAAAGGUGUGCAAUAGUUUAUCCUGCGCACCUCUCCCAUGGGACCUGGGCGAGACCGUUUUCGUGCUUCUAUCAAUUGCUGGGCUUGGCACAGUGUUGAAGUUGCCCCGCACUACUGUUAUCCCUCCCCCGUCUGCGUUCAUUAUUGUCGUGAGGUUGUCCCAGUAUGAGGGGGCUGGAACGUUAGGGGCGUAUACGUUGAGGAUCCUUAUUUUUGUGCUGUGUGGCAUGCCUGUUAUUGAAAUAUAACGGCCCUCCGGGUCUGCCUGUGUCCCUGUCACUUGGAGUGGGCAGUUUUUGUGCGCCAAUAUUGUCACUCCGGCCCGUUUGUGUAGUGCUCUCGCCUCAUGAGACUGGGGGUAUUGUCUGUCCUUCAGUGUUAUCGGUGCUGUCUUAGGGAUAUGGGUUUCUUGAAUUAGGGCAAUGUCGGUUUUGCGUGCCUUCAGGUCUCUAAGCAGGAGCCUGCGUUUAUUUGAGGUGUUUAGUCCCUUGACUUGAGGGAAACUAUUUUUAGCGCCAUUUAAGGUCGGGGCCCUAGAGGAGUGGUGAUAAACGGGUGUGGUCUCCUAUUUGGUUAUGUGCUCUGACUCCCUCUUCCAUGGUUGGGGUACUCUGGUCUGGGUCCUGGGCAGUCGUACCUGUGUUUUGUGUCGUAACCUUCUCUAGGGACUACGUUUGGGUUGCCGGUUGGGGCCCACCUGUGCGUUGGGUCUUCUGUUGCAAAUGGUGGAUCGGUUGGUUCCGCCUAAACUGAGGAUACGUGUGGUGUAGAGGUGUUGGUGCAGCCUUUAUGACUGCGGUAGCGUGUGUGCUGUGUUGUUAGUGUGUGGCGUGCAUGUUUUGGAUGGUGAGCAGGCAUUUAUGUUUUUUUAUGCUCGGUUGUUGCUGGAAGUGUACAUGAGUUCAAUUGCUGUGUGCUGGGGUGAGAUGUGUGAAAUGGAUAGGGGCUAAGUUCCAGGGUGCUUGUAUCUUGUUUUCCCAGAGGUUGGAGCUAGACACAGUUCUCUGAUAUAUACAUAUGUAUAUACAUACAUAUACGCACACAUACAUAUACAUACUUUUUUUUAUGUUAUUUUUUUUAUAUGUUAUAAUAUAAACAUAUAUAUGGUGCGUGAGGGUCUUACCCCUCCUGGGUGUAUUCUUGUGUGGGUGAAGCGGCAGUGGUAGUCCACCGGCCUCCUCCUCUCUAUGCGGGGUCAGGGAGUUAGCAUAUGUUACUGUAUACAAUAUACAACCACACUUCAGAGGCAAAACAGUAUAUACAUGCACAUACGACCUGAUCUGUGUAAGUUUCUCUUGCUCCGUAUUGUAACUUGGAAGAGAGGUUUGGAGGUAAACGUCCCGGUUACAGGUCCGGCCCAGCUUUCUUGCAUGUCCACAGCUGUUUGUUAGUGGUCUGUUUCUUUGGUUAUAGAGGGGAAUGCGUUGGAGCCAGUCGGUCGGGAGCUUGCGUAGUGUGCCAGGGGUAUACCUUCGUUUACGGUUUGAGUCCAUCCUCUCGGUUCCGGUGCGGGGAUGGUUACAAGUAGUCCCUGGAAAGUCCUAGUUUAGGUUAUGGUCUCUUCAUGUCCGCUGAGUGGACCAGCAGUCCUCUUCUCUUUGGUCGAUAGUUGAUUCCUUCCUCUGUCUCUGGUGAGCGUCUUCUCUGAUCCCUUGGCUUUCUGUUGAAGGUCUGUGCUGGAUCCAUCGCAUACCAGUCCAUUAUGCGUACUUCAUUAAGUUUGAGCGCUUUGAUGAAAGUUGUCACGUCUCUGUAAUCUGUUAUAGUGUUGUUAGCCCCUUUGAGUGUAACAAUGAGAGCUAGGGGGAAAACCCAAUCUGUAUCUUAUAUUUCUUGCACGUGCCUGAAAUGGUGAGCCAGGAGGGAUCUUGGUAAAUUUUGAUCUCGUGUCUGUGGAACAGCAGCGGUGGGUUGGUGUCCCUCAAUUUCUUAAGUAUUCGUAGUGUAGUAGUGUAACCGACAUAUGAUGUCUCUUGGGGCGUCCCCAUUGUUGCUCUUAGGCCAGAGUGAGCAGUGCGCUCUAUCAAGAUGGAUCGCGUUGCUACUGGUUGCUCUAAAAGUAAGUUGAAUAAUUCUUGCAGUGAUGCUGGGAGAUCCUCGGCCUCUGUUUCAGGUAAGCCCUUAUUUCUGAGGUUGUUUCUGCGCCCCCUAUUGUCUGUCAUCCAGUAAUCUUUGCAGCUGUGACAUUUGUGUUUCGUGGGUGCCUAAGCGGUCUGACACAGUGUCUAGUUGUGUAUGCAUCUGUUCCCUGUCUUUCUCCAGGUCUUGGACACGGAGGCCUACCUGCUGUACGUCAGGAUCCCAGGCCCUCCAUUUUACGUUGGAAGGAGGUUUCCAGUUUCUCCAACAUUGCUGUGAGAUCAGCCUUGGAGGGUAGGUUCCUGAGCAGCUCUUUAAUAUCUGGGUCUGCCGACAUUACUGAUGUCUCUGAGGCUGAUGGGCUGGGAGGAUUGGAGAGGCACUCUCCUGCGGUCGACGCCAUGGUUGCCUCCCCCUGUCCCGCCAUGCAGCCGACGUGGUCUUUGAAGUAUUUUGUUACCGAGCCCGGUUUCUCGGUGGGUGCUUUCCCACCGCUUGUGUGGGUGCUCUGCGACCUUUUGGGGUUCCCCAUGUUUAAUUGUGCCUGUGUUCCAGCUCGUUUGAGUGCCUGCUCUGCCGGAGCCAGACUAACAUGCAGCCAUUUCUUCCGACGGUCGGUCACGCCCCCCAAAUAUGUGUAUUUUAUUGCAGUAAAAGCAAACCGUAUUAUGACAUUCACAGUUAAAAUGUCAUGCGGAACUAAAAAAAUAACAAUUUCUUAAUUUCUCAAUUUGUUUUUUUAUUUUAUUCAUAUUAAAUUGUUUCAUAGCUAAAUAUUGAUGUUAAAUGAAAGCCCUAUUUAUCCUGAAUAAAAUGAUUUAUAAUAAGUGUAGGUGCACUUAAUAUGACAGAGAUGAACGGUUGAACAGACAUAUAGUCAAAUUCCAAGUUUAAGUUUUAUUUUGAUCAUAACGUGUACAUUUGGCUCAGUCCUUAAGGGGUUAAAUAUAGGAGAUAAGUAAACAUAAUAUUAAAAAAUAGACCCGUGAUGCAUAAAAGGCAGAGUUAACAAUGUCAGGAAGACACUUUCAUUGGGUGUCAUAUUUUCAUUACUCAGCUCAGGUGAAAGUCAUAUUUUUAGCUCAUUACAGUAGACCAUAUAGGGCUUCCUUAAAAUCUGUAAUUUGGGAUAUUACUGUUACCCUUUAGCACACUGACUGUUAAUGAACAAGAAUGUCAAUGACAAAUGUUAGUGCAUAAAGUAUUCUGUGGAAAACACAGGUUAAUCCCUAGAAAUAGAGUACCUUCAGCUGGUCAUGGCAGAAAACAAAGAGAACCUGUACUUACCUAGACACAGGAAGCUUCUUUAAAUAGUUAAUUCACAUACAGUUUACACAUCUCUGGUCUCCUUGCUAUCUUUCUGCUAACUGAAAACCACAAUUUUUACCACCCUUAUGUUUGAUUCAGUGGUGCUACACCUUAUCAUUAUUGGUAUUUAUAUAACGACAACUUAUUCCACAGCGCAUUACAAUAUUUUGAAUGGGAGGAGAUUUAACUAUAAAUGAGACAUUUACAAAAUGAUAUAAGAAAAAUAGGUAGAUGAGGACUCUGCACAAACGAACUUGCAGCAUGUACCAGCAUGCAGAGGAUUCUGUGUGGUAGUAGUUCAAGUCAAGAGUUUAAGUGAAAUACUUCUUAAUAAAUGUAUAGCCCAAAGAGUUCAGAGCAAAAUAUCUCCGUAUCACUGCAGAACCAAAAUUCAGCCAAUUGUGGAACUGGAAAGUUUACUUGCAAAAUCUGCAUGAAAACCCAAAGCAGUGUGACGCUCUCGGGCCCGGCGAGAGCUUUUUCUCUGGCUUUUUCUCCAACAAUUUGAGUGCGUUUAAUAUUGAUAGUUUUACAUGUUUAAAGAGACUGCUUGUAAACUUUUGUGUUUGGGAAAGCUGUAUAUGCCAUGUGAAUGGGAAAAGGCUGUUUGUGUUGUGUUUGUGAGGAGACAUGAGACAUUAAUCUGGCCAACUGCCCCACUUAAAUACAAAACAAGGAUGCAGUAAAACACGCCCAGAACACUCCCACAAAUUCCUGUGUCAGAGUGAGUCUGCAUAAAAACAUAAAAUAUCAAAAUACAUAAAAAAUCCAUAAAAAACAUCUAGGAACCCCUACAAAUUAUAUAGCCCUGAUCUGAGUGCCCAAGUUCUCCAAAUAACGCUCAGAUCCAUGCAGUGUAGGGGAAACGCCACCGUGUGGAAGUUCUGACCGGCCGCACACAUGGUCCUAUGCGCAAAACAUUUCCUGUGCGUUUGGUGCUUUUGCCGGCCAGCUUCCAGGAGCUCCGGCGGCCGCAAUACGGGCUGCUCCGGCUGGCUCCUAGGUAGCGUUUGCUCCCCUUAGUCUCAGGCACCAAGGAGGCUGGGGAGAUUUAACUCCCGAACAGGGUCUUUGUAUGUGUCCCACAGUCCUUGGGCAGGAGGCUAGCUAGCAGGCUCCUCAAGGAGUUUGUGACAAACGUUCAGGGUAAGGAGCGUUUGUCACAUAUCUUCCUCCUCCUGGGGAGACUAACCAGACCCCAGAUCUCCAAUAGGUCUGGGUCUGUGUUAGUCUGGUUGACUUUUCCAAAAGGUGCAGUGAUCCAGAGGGCCUCCUGCCACAAGCACCCGUUUAUGCAUCCAGGGUCUUUCUGGGAAGGGCAACUGCUAAAAUCCACUCCUGAAAAACCACACUGUUGCUGGGGAGGGGGGGAAUGAAGAAACUAUGCGCUCCCUGUUGUAUGUACUGCUGCUGGAUAAUGAGACAGACCACCUCCACCCCUAGUGAAGCUUGCUUCUGCUGGGGAGAGGGACUAAAAAUCUCCUCUCCUUGUAACUCUGGCUGCUGCUGGGGAGAGAGACAGGUUGUCUCCUCUCCCUGCCUGGUACACUGCCGCUGGGGAGGGAGACGGGCUGUCUGUUGCUGGGUAGUGAGACGGACUAUCUCCACUACCAGGGAUGCUUGCUGCUGUUGGGAUAAGGGGCCGACAAUCUGUCAUACUGUCUGGUGCUGGGUAGGGAGACCGACUAUCUCCACUCCCAGUGAUGCUCGCUGCUGCUGGGGAGAGGGACCGAAAAAUCUCCUCUCCCUGUAACUCUGGCUGCCACUGGGGAGCGAGACCGGUUGUCUCCUCUCCCUUUAAAGGACCACUAUAGGCACCCAGACCACUUCAGCUUAAUGAAGUGGUCUGGGUGCCUGGUCCAGCUAGGGUUAACCCUUUUUUUUUAUAAACAUAGCAGUUUCAGAGAAACUUAUGUUUAUAAAUAGGUUAAACCAGCCUCUAAAGCCUCUAGUGGCUGUCUCAUUGACAGCCGCUAGAGGCGCUUGCGUGCUUCUCACUGUGAAAAUCACAGUGAGAAGACGCCAGGGUCCAUAGGAAAGCAUUGUAAAUGCUUUCCUAUGAACUGGCUGAAUGUGCGCGCGGCUCCUGCCGCACAUGCACAUUCAGCCGAUGACGUCGCUAGGAAGGAGGAGAGGAGGAGGAAAGCUCCCCGUCCGGCGCUGGAGAAAGGUGAGUGUUUAACCCAUUCCUCUCCCCAGAGCCCGGUGGGAGGGGGAUCCUGAGGGUGGGGGCACCCUCAGGGCACUAUAGUGCCAGGAAAACGAGUAUGUUUUCCUGGCACUAUAGUGGUCCUUUAACUCAUACUGCCGCUGGAGAGUGAGACCGAGGAUGCUUGCUGCUGCUGGGUUGAGGGACCAACAAUCUCCUCUCCCUGUGAUGCUGCUUUGUGGGGAUAUUUAUGGGAUAAUAGUCAACAGUGAGAAUUGCCCACUAAUUCAAUUCUCAGAUCCCAAAGAUCGUUAUCGUGUUAAGUGAAAAGUAUUUCAUAUAAAUAAAUCACAAUGUUAUAAAAAUAGAUUUAUUUUAUAAUAACAAAUUAAUUAAUAAUAAUAUGUAACAUGCGUGACAAUAAUCAAUUAGUAUUUAGUACAACAUAGUAUGCAAUGGAAUGGGUAUACACGUUUCAAUGGCUAAACAGCAUUUUCUGUCAAGACUUACACGAUUUAUGAGGUAUCCUUACAGACAUAGAAAGCGGAGCUUUUCACAGCGAAGGGCCAUAAAACCCUGGCUAACAGUUAGAUCAACUGAAUAACCCUUUCAAUGCUGGCUAGAUCUCCUAGGUAAUUAAGAUCUAUUCUUAUGUAAUUUUAAAUAAAAUAACAUUUAAACCAGUUCAUUAGUCAUUUCCUGGAACCAUCCAAUAAGAGAAUCUACCAGAUUUUUACAAAAGCAGAAUUUAAUUUGUCUAAAAGAUAUCUUAUCUUAUAUUAGAGCAAAUCAAUACACCUGGAUAAAAACAGCGGUAUGCUAACACGUGAUACUAUCACAUUAAUAUAUAAUUAUUCUUAAUUCCACCUGCAGAAUGGAAUGUUUAUAACUAUAUAUUCUUUAGUUAACUAAGAUUUCAUAAUAUGGAAAUCUGACCGUGAUUUAUCCAGUCAUAUAUCAUGCUAUUAGUACAUUUUAAUUAAUUUAAUUAAUUAAAUGAAACCAGUAUAAUUACCAGUUGAGUAGAUAUUUUAUCCGAUUGGUAGAUAGUCUCAGGAACUUAUUUGGAUGUCUGUAGGUGCAUGAGUUAUGGUGAAAGGUGGUGUUGGUUAGAAAGUCAGUAAAAUUCUAAGUGUUAGAGUUUUAAGAGUAAAGUGUUAGUCUCAGAUGUUGUCCUGGGUUUCUCUGCAUGUCCGAUUUGGAGUCCCCAAACUUCCAAUUCCUCUUCUCUCUUUUCCUCUUCCCUUUGUCUUAACUUUUAAAGGGCCAGACUCUCUGUACGUCAUUAGUUGAUAACCCAAUAGGCACACUGGAGGUGUGUCCAAUCUAGGGAUCGCAAUUUAGGUAUUUGAUCUAUAGAGGGCAGUCUUGUCCCACUAAAUAUACCUAUCCAGGAAAGAGUUAACUUUCGUCAUUUUGGCUUAUCUAUAUGGUUGCCAUAAUUUAAGUUUUCUGUCAGAUCAAACAGUUUCUUUAAGUUUUGUCCAGACUAUGUGUCUGGCAAAUUCUGCUAUAAUUUCUAAUAUGACAGUUAUAACUAAGUUUUGACCUGUAACUUACAAUGGGAUCUUGUACAUAUAGGAAGUAAAAUUUUAUUAUUUAAUCUCCUCUGUCACAAAUGUCUGUGUUUAGAUAUGCAUCUAUUCCAUUAGCAUUUAGACAGUCUAUCCAACCCCCGUUCUCCUUAUCACUUGGUUUGUAUAUACUAUGCAUUCCUUUAGCUCUGGGAAAGUGGUUAGUUUUACAGAUAGAAAUCUUGUUUCUUUUGUUAGCUUGAAAAUAACAAAAUGGAGUCUGCUCUGUUCAAAAGUGACUCAGCAUAUACACUUUUAAUUUCUAUCAUAGCACAAGAUGUCUGGCGAUAUAAAUACCCUGACAGCUUGGUGCUGGGUAGUGAGACCGACUAUCUCCACUCCCAGGUAUGCUUGCUGCUGCUGGGAUGAGGGACUGACAGUCUCCUCUCCCUGUGAUGCUGCUUGGUGCUGGGUAGUGACACCGACUAUCUCUACUCCCAGGGAUGCUUGCUGCUAAGCUGCUUUGCCUAGGUUCUGUUAUUCCUGCUGCAGUUCCCAUUCUAUAGCGACCAGGUGGGUGAAAUCUGGUCCCAGGUCUGUAGUAUUAGGGAGCUCCAGUGCGUCCAUAUGAUAAUUCCUGAUGGCCCAAUACCGAGACUCUUCCGUUCUGCUGAAGUCACUGUCCUCCUCCAAAGCCUCCCAUAGUAGACCAGGGCCAUUGUAGUCCUCACCCCCGGUCUUUCGUUCUCCGCCCUUCACGGGCACCUUUGGACCGAGUACCACUGUAGUGCUCGUUCAGCCACAGUUCCUUCUUGAUCAGCCGCUGGAAUUCUAUAAUCCACUCUUCCAGGGGCAGAUACUCCAGUAAAGGCAGCCUCAGCACUGUUUACUUUCUGCCUGCGCUGUUCUGAACUGGGAAGGCCUCGUGCCAGAGAUCUCGCCGUAUGCUUUCUUUCCAGGCCAGCUCCUCCUCAGCUGAAAUAUGGCCAUGCACCUGGGUCAGUGCGCCUUGUAGUCUCUCCUGGAACUCCUCCUCAUAUGGGGAUGCUCCCCGGGGGCUAGCUCACUCCAUCUCCCGAGUUCCUCUGCAGACAGGGACGCUGCUGGGCCCUUCACUGUGCUUCCUGGUUUGGGAUACCCAUUUGGGAGUAAGAAAUCCCUCCGCUUGCCACCAAUGUAACGGAUUUCCCUCUGUGUAUAUCCACUGUAGUUCUCCCAAAUCCCCAGUGAAGCAGUGAUUAUAGCUCCCAAUUCCCCAAACAUCAGUCUAGACUUGAUGAAGGGUAGAAACGAAUGUGUUUAAUCUGGCCAACUGGCCCACUUAUAUACAAAACAAGGAUGCAGCAAAAGACGCCCAGAACACUUCCACAAAAUGUCCACAAAUUCCUGUGUUGGAGUGACUCAGCAUAAAAACAUAAAAUAUCAAAAUACAUACAAAAUACAAAAUAAAUAGGAACCCCAACAAAUUAUAUAUCAUUAAAUAGCCCUAUCUGAGCGCCCAAGUUCUCCAAAUAGCGCUCAGAUCCAUGCAGUAUAAGGGAAAUGCCACUGUGUGGAAGUUUUGACCGGCCAAACACAUGGUCCAAUGCCCAAAACAUAUCCUGGUCGUUUCGUGCCUUUGCAGGUCUACUUCUGGGAGCUCCUGCGGCUGCAAUACAGGGUGCUCAUGCUGGCUCCUAGGUAGCGUUUGUUCCCCUUAGUCUCAGGCACCCAGGGAAAGCUGGUAAUGGAGGCUGGGGAGAUUUAACUCCCGAACAGGGUCUUUGUAUGUGUCCCAUAGUCCUUGGGCAGGAGGCUAGCCAGCAGGCUCUUCCAGGAGUUUGUAACAAACGUUCAGGGUAAGGAGUGUUUGUCACACUUGGUAUCCUAUCUUUUGUCCUUUCCUGUGCUGUGCAUACCUGUGAAGUAAGGUGCAUUACACAGGCGGCUCCCACUGACCUCAGUGUUGACUCUCGCGAUAAUCAACACUGAGGAGCAGUGACACACGACUUCAGGAAAUGGUGCUGUGCUGGAGUGAGGUGACUACAUACAUACCCAGCCAAUGGCAAAAUUGACAAAGGCUGUGGACCAUGGGCAUGCGUGUGGGUGUUCGCAUACCAUCAUGUAUACCCUUAUACACCCUACGUGUCAGCUGAUCUAUAACCAGAUAUCUAUGGUGCAAUAUGUUUAGUUUAAAUGUAUUUAACUAUAAUCACCACAAAGUGUAAACAAUAAAAACUGGGAUAUAUUUACCUCACAGGAAAUUAUGUGUAUAUAUAUAUAUAUAUAUAUAACAUUAAUUCAAAUAGAUAAAAAACAAGAGAUAAAAAAUAUAUAGUGUAGUAUUUUAAUGCAUAGAAAAAUCUAAAAACCUAUGUAUAUAUAAGUAAAAAAGCACAAUAGGAAAUUGUGCAAAAAGCAUAGGUACCACAAGGUACCCAAACCAAUCACUCACAUAUUCUCACACAUAACUAUUCAAAUACAUCACACAAAGAUGACAACACUUAUAAUCACCCCACAUGUUCCCUUGCACACAGCCUUCUAAUAAAUAUUCUCGGUGUACACUAUAAUGAAAUGUGCUGCGCAUGCCUAUGCCAUAGACUAAAGAUUCACAGUUUGUCAACCUGAUUGUUCUACAUAAUGAAAGGAAGUCUUUGCUUUUCCUUAUGUAUAACGUUGCAAAAAUGAAAAGAUAUUUAAUUUUUAAAUAAUAGAGUGAGGGAUGGGGGGCCCUUGUCUAUUACAAAAAAAAAGUGACAGAGACACUUUAAUAGAUGUGCUAUAAAAAGAAGUCUUAUCAGUAUAAUGUCUAACACUUUCAAACAUUCACUUAUUUAUGUGCGUGAAUUUUUUCCUAAAACUGGUGGAACAUUGAAAAGGGAGUUCAAAUAUUAGGCAAAAACAGACAAAUUGGAUAUAUCCUUUGACUCACCCAGGUUUCCAGUGUGGUCAGUUUCUGGCAAUUCAUUUCAUAUUAUAUUACAUACAAAACAUUUCAUACAUGGAUAUUUUUCAGAUCAAUACCCUCUUUCUGUUCUAUUAUUACAGAGAAAUGGACCAACCCUGCUCAUCUUCUUCAGAGUAGCUUGUGCCACAGUCUGUACCAAAUAAUCACUCUAUUUAUUUCUCACAUUUUGCCUUGAAAGGAAAUGAAGGACUCUCUUGUUCUUCGGACACUGUAGUUCUUUGGAGUGAGAAGAACAAGUCAAGGAGAGGAUGUUGA
RNAcentral lists this long non-coding RNA (16288 nucleotides) under Pelobates cultripes (western spadefoot toad). The record is from RNAcentral. Lineage: Eukaryota; Metazoa; Chordata; Amphibia; Anura; Pelobatidae.